ACGCACAGAGAAACCUUUGUCAAUACCUGAUCUCAUUUGAUCUCGAAAGCUAAGUAGGAUUGAGCUUGGUUAGUACUUAGACGGGAGAUGGUCGCUCUAGGGCAAAUGGUUAUUGUGUCCU
Molecule: ribosomal RNA, 121 nt
Filed under: Periophthalmus magnuspinnatus
Lineage: Eukaryota; Metazoa; Chordata; Actinopteri; Gobiiformes; Gobiidae
Source: RNAcentral